This 84-nucleotide transfer RNA is filed under the name Clostridium sp. RNAcentral describes it as "tRNA-Leu". It matches the Rfam family "tRNA". Rfam says of the family: Transfer RNA (tRNA) molecules are approximately 80 nucleotides in length. Lineage: Bacteria; Bacillati; Bacillota; Clostridia; Eubacteriales; Clostridiaceae. RNAcentral also lists the same sequence under 5 other names. The record is from RNAcentral.
GCGACCGUGGCGGAACUGGCAGACGCGCCAGCCUUAGGAGCUGGUAUCACAGAUGUGUGAGUUCGAGUCUCUCCGGUCGCACCA